CGACCGCAGGUCAGGCGGGGCUACCCGCUGAGUUUAAGCAUAUCAAUAAGCGGAGG
Molecule: ribosomal RNA, 56 nt
Filed under: Mammillaria deherdtiana
Lineage: Eukaryota; Viridiplantae; Streptophyta; Magnoliopsida; Caryophyllales; Cactaceae
Description: partial 26S ribosomal RNA
Source: RNAcentral